AAUAGAUACCCGGGUAGUCCACGCCGUAAACGUUGGGCGCUAGAUGUGGGGACCAUUCCACGGUUUCCGUGUCGCAGCUAACGCAUUAAGCGCCCCGCCUGGGGAGUACGGCCGCAAGGCUAAAACUCAAAGGAAUUGACGGGGGCCCGCACAAGCGGCGGAGCAUGCGGAUUAAUUCGAUGCAACGCGAAGAACCUUACCAAGGCUUGACAUAUACGAGGACGCUCUAGAAAUAGAGAACUCUUUGGACACUCGUAUACAGGUGGUGCAUGGUUGUCGUCAGCUCGUGUCGUGAGAUGUUGGGUUAAGUCCCGCAACGAGCGCAACCCUCGUUCUAUGUUGCCAGCGGUUCGGCCGGGAACUCAUAGGAGACUGCCGGGGUCAACUCGGAGGAAGGUGGGGAUGACGUCAAAUCAUCAUGCCCCUUAUGUCUUGGGCUUCACGCAUGCUACAAUGGCCGGUACAAAGGGCUGCAAUACCGUAAGGUGGAGCGAAUCCCAAAAGCCGGUCUCAGUUCGGAUUGAGGU
This 527-nucleotide ribosomal RNA is filed under the name uncultured bacterium. RNAcentral's name for it is "bacterial SSU rRNA". It matches the Rfam family "Bacterial small subunit ribosomal RNA", at positions 777 to 1304 of the family's 1533-position model. The record is from RNAcentral.